CGGUAUUCAGUAACCUUAAUCUAAUAUUUCACGCCCAAACCCUAUUUCCCCAAUUUCCUCUAUCUCUCUCUCUGCUCGACCGAUAACCCCUCUCUCUCUGCUCGACCGAUCCCUAUUUUCCCAAAUUUUUAAAGGAAGCCUAUCAGCGACGUUUUGAGGAAUAGCGUCAAAGUCAACCCGAUUCCAUGGAUGGUAGCUCAACCCAAGUGUCACUCAAUGAUGUAGCUUCAAUAUGGUCGCAGGUGGUUGGUGGCGCAAAGAAAGGUAGAACCUACGGUCUUGAAUCACAAUAUUCCGUAGGUCAUUCUACGACAUUGUUGUCUGGCGAUGCAAGUUAUUCGCAAGAUCACGAAGAGGUGGAAGCAUUACGAAAAGAAGUUGAAGAGUUGAAGGAGGAACAGAAAGAAGAUCGCGCAAGUUUUAACAAAUUGCAGAUUCUAGUGGAGAAAUUUAUGAGCGGACGUUCAUUUGGUCCUUUGAAUAGCGAGGAUGGCGGGGAUAAUGAGUUUUAGUUUGUUAUGGUUCACUACUAAGAAAUCAAGUUUUAGCGACGGAUUAGCAACCGAUUAUCAAGAAAUUCCGCUAGCUACGAGCGUUUUAGCGACAGAUUAGCGACGGCGUUCGUAGCUAAUUCCAGUUUUUUUGUAGUGGUUAUGAUGUUUGAGACAUUAUUAUUUGUUGUAGUUUGAUGUUUAGACUUGGUAAUAUUUACACUUGACUAUGAUUGUAAUGUUUUAGACUAGAUUGAAUGGUGCCAGAAUGUUUAACUCUUUUUUGGAUGUUUUAGUUACAAAUAUUUAUGUUUUGCAUUUUAUGGAUUGAUUGGUUGAAAUGA
This is a long non-coding RNA of Nicotiana attenuata, 835 nucleotides long. RefSeq lists it as uncharacterized. The transcript has 2 exons. The record is from RefSeq and is a predicted model, not a curated record. Lineage: Eukaryota; Viridiplantae; Streptophyta; Magnoliopsida; Solanales; Solanaceae.